RNAcentral lists this ribosomal RNA (491 nucleotides) under uncultured bacterium. RNAcentral's name for it is "bacterial SSU rRNA". It matches the Rfam family "Bacterial small subunit ribosomal RNA", at positions 1 to 507 of the family's 1533-position model. The record is from RNAcentral.
UGACGAGUUUGAUCCUGGCUCAGGACGAACGCUGGCGGCGUGCCUAACACAUGCAAGUCGAACGGACUUACAUUGAAGCCUAGCGAUAUGUAAGUUAGUGGCGGACGGGUGAGUAACGCGUGGGUAACCUGCCCUAUACAGGGGGACAACAGUUGGAAACGACUGCUAAUACCGCAUAAGCGCACAGUACCGCAUGGUACAGAGCGAAAAACUCCGGUGGUAUAGGAUGGGCCCGCGUCUGAUUAGUUAGUUGGCGGUGUAACGGACCACCAAGACGACGAUCAGUAGCCGGCUUGAGAGAGUGAACGGCCACAUUGGGACUGAGACACGGCCCAAACUCCUACGGGAGGCAGCAGUGGGGAAUAUUGCACAAUGGGGGAAACCCUGAUGCAGCAACGCCGCGUGAGUGAAGAAGUAUUUCGGUAUGUAAAGCUCUAUCAGCAGGGAAGAAAAUGACGGUACCUGACUAAGAAGCCCCGGCUAACUACGUG